RNAcentral lists this transfer RNA (73 nucleotides) under Thermoplasmata archaeon. RNAcentral's name for it is "tRNA-Phe". It matches the Rfam family "tRNA". Rfam says of the family: Transfer RNA (tRNA) molecules are approximately 80 nucleotides in length. The record is from RNAcentral. RNAcentral also lists the same sequence under 1 other name. Lineage: Archaea; Methanobacteriati; Thermoplasmatota; Thermoplasmata.
GCCGCUGUAGCUCAGUAGGGAGAGCGCCAGACUGAAGAUCUGGAGGUCGAGGGUUCAAUUCCCUCCGGCGGCA